Molecule: ribosomal RNA, 330 nt
Filed under: uncultured eukaryote
Lineage: Eukaryota
Description: partial 18S ribosomal RNA
Rfam family: Eukaryotic small subunit ribosomal RNA
Source: RNAcentral
CCCUUAGAUGUUCUGGGCCGCACGCGCGCUACACUGAUGCAUUCAACGAGUCUAAAACCUGGUCUGAUAGGGCUGGGUAAUCUUUUGAAUGUGUAUCGUGAUUGGGAUAGAUGAUUGCAAUUCUUCAUCUUCAACGAGGAAUGCCUAGUAAACGCAAGUCAUCAGCUUGCAUUGAUUACGUCCCUGCCCUUUGUACACACCGCCCGUCGCUCCUACCGAUUGAAUGUUCCGAUGAAUACCAUGGACUGAGAGUAUGAAUGGGUUCGCCUAUUUCUGCUUCUCGGGAAGUGGAGUAAAUCUUAACAUUUAGAGGAAGGAGAAGUCGUAACA